AUGAACUAAAUCAAAGUACCAACACACAACCUCCAUUAGCAGGGCAUCAAAUUAUUAGGGUUUAACUAGAUCCAUUGGUAGGAUGUUGAAUUACCAAUGCACAAUCUCUACUGGUAAAAUAUCAAAAUAUUAGCAUCUAACCGCUUUACUAAUAGAAUAUCGAAUUAUCAAUAUAUAACUUCCACUGAUAGAGUAUCAAAGUACCAAUGUUUAACCCCCAC
Molecule: long non-coding RNA, 221 nt
Filed under: Elaeis guineensis (African oil palm)
Lineage: Eukaryota; Viridiplantae; Streptophyta; Magnoliopsida; Arecales; Arecaceae
Description: long non-coding RNA (EGUI_LNC032862)
Source: RNAcentral